GACGAACGCUGGCGGCGUGCUUAACACAUGCAAGUCGAACGGAAAGGCCCUGCUUUUGUGGGCUGCUCGAGUGGCGAACGGGUGAGUAACACGUGAGUAACCUGCCCUUGCUUUUGGGAUAGCUUCAGGAAAGUGGGGCUAAUAACGGAUAGGAGCUCCCGCUGCACGGUGGGGGGUGGAAAUUUUCGGCGGUUGGGGCUGGACUCGCGGCUUAUCAGCUUGUUGGUGGGGUAGUGGCUUACCAAGGCUGUGAAGGGUAGCCGGCCUGAGAGGGUGACCGGGCACAUUGGUCCUGGGGUACGGGCCGGAGGGCUACGUGAGGCAGCAGUGGAGAACAUUGCACAAUGGGCGGAAGCCGGAUGCAGCAACGCCGCGUGCGGAAUGACGGCCUUCGGGUUGUAAACCGCUUUCGGCUGUUACGAAGCGGGAGUGACGGUAAUGGGUAAAAAAGCACCGGCUAACUACGUG
Molecule: ribosomal RNA, 468 nt
Filed under: uncultured bacterium
Lineage: Bacteria
Description: partial 16S ribosomal RNA
Rfam family: Bacterial small subunit ribosomal RNA
Source: RNAcentral